This 253-nucleotide ribosomal RNA is filed under the name uncultured bacterium. RNAcentral describes it as "partial 16S ribosomal RNA". It matches the Rfam family "Bacterial small subunit ribosomal RNA", at positions 524 to 776 of the family's 1533-position model. The record is from RNAcentral.
UACGAAGGGUGCAAACGUUGCUCGGAAUUAUUGGGCGUAAAGCGCACGUAGGCGGCAUUGCAAGUCGGAUGUGAAAUCCCUCGGCUUAACCAAGGAAGUGCAUCCGAAACUGCAGUGCUUGAGUACUUAAGAGGAUCGCGGAAUUCCCGGUGUAGAGGUGAAAUUCGUAGAUAUCGGGAGGAACACCAGUGGCGAAGGCGGCGACCUGGGCCAAUAUUGACGCUGAGGUGCGAAAGCGUGGGGAGCAAACAGG